CUGAGCAACAAUAUCUGAUGCCAUGAUAGGUAUCAUCCUGCUUGUUCUGGGAUGAGUAUUGAACAGGCGAAGCAAUUGGACCUGUUUGUUUGUUCUGAUUGUGCAUCUGUUGAUGUGAAAAAGCCUCCGACCAAAUUAACUGAAUCUCCAGUAAUGAAUGGAAAGUUGGAAACAAAGCGGCAGAAGAAGUAAGCUGGGGAGCACAACGAUGCUGUUGGAGAGAUUGUCAAUUUUCAUUAUUCUGGUGUUGUUGUGAUGUUGUAUAGCUGCGGUGGAUAUAUUUUGUCAUCUCCUGAAUGGGUAAAUUGUAUGGAUAUUAGUAGAUGGCUUUGAAGCUUGUGAUAUGCUCCGAAUGAGCUUCUGCUGUUGCAAAUGUGAAGCCAAAUUUUAGAUAAAUUAACUUUGUUGGUUUUGAAUUUUCGAUGUCGUCAAGCAAAGAAUUUGGGCUUUUACUUUAUUUGGAAAGGCUAAAUUUGCAUUUGAAGAUCGUUUUACUACUA
Molecule: non-coding RNA, 500 nt
Organism: Coffea arabica (coffee)
Lineage: Eukaryota; Viridiplantae; Streptophyta; Magnoliopsida; Gentianales; Rubiaceae
Source: RefSeq, a predicted model, not a curated record